RNAcentral lists this unclassified non-coding RNA (575 nucleotides) under Athalia rosae (coleseed sawfly). RNAcentral describes it as "misc RNA ENSAEAG00005008599.1". Lineage: Eukaryota; Metazoa; Arthropoda; Insecta; Hymenoptera; Athaliidae. The record is from RNAcentral.
UUCGCGCGAAUAUGACUCGCUUGCUUUUCGUUCUCCAAAGUUUUAUCCACCUCAUUUUCUGCUCUAUCCCAGCAACAAUCGGAACUGUAAUACUCGAUUCCUCGCACAUUGCAGGUUGACAACUGAUAAGAAACCUUUCUGACCCAAUUAGAACAGUACGCACGUAAUAAAUCUGGGGGCGUUCCUUACGAUAGACUUCUUCCACUAUCGGUCCUUCCGCAUUUCAUUUUCAAUCACAGAGAAAGAAAAAUCGUGAUUCACUUCGAGGUUCAGGGGGUCACAUAUUGCGAAAUGUUUGAAACAAUAAAUAAGGAGUUAUAUAUAAAUUCCGCAUUGAAACGGUCUGUGACAAAUCGAGACAAACUUCUCGUUGCUCCGCACGAACACGACGUAAUAAUCACGGGCUCUGCGGUUGAUGCAGUGUCAAGCUGAACGGCAAUGUUGUGUGAUUAGACGCUAUUUAUUCGAGUCUGCGGAUCAUCUUCGAGUUUCAAAUUGAAGACGCCCAAUUUUCAACAGAAGUUUCCACUGCAAAGGAGAAUACUCGGCACCAUGUAUCGUAUAAAAAUUAGACG